This 87-nucleotide transfer RNA is filed under the name Planctomycetaceae bacterium. RNAcentral describes it as "tRNA-Ser". It matches the Rfam family "tRNA". From Rfam's summary of the family: Transfer RNA (tRNA) molecules are approximately 80 nucleotides in length. Their secondary structure includes four short double-helical elements and three loops (D, anti-codon, and T loops). Further hydrogen bonds mediate the characteristic L-shaped molecular structure. tRNAs have two regions of fundamental functional importance: the anti-codon, which is responsible for specific mRNA codon recognition, and the 3' end, to which the tRNAs corresponding amino acid is attached (by aminoacyl-tRNA synthetases). tRNAs cope with the degeneracy of the genetic code in two manners: having more than one tRNA (with a specific anti-codon) for a particular amino acid; and 'wobble' base-pairing, i.e. permitting non-standard base-pairing at the 3rd anti-codon position. Lineage: Bacteria; Pseudomonadati; Planctomycetota; Planctomycetia; Planctomycetales; Planctomycetaceae. The record is from RNAcentral.
GGAGAGGUGGCAGAGCGGUUGAAUGCACCGGUCUUGAAAACCGGCGUGUCUGAAAGGGCACCGUGGGUUCGAAUCCCACCCUCUCCG